AGAGUUUGAUCCUGGCUCAGGAUGAACGCUGGCGGCGUGCUUAACACAUGCAAGUCGAACGGGAAACCUUUUAUUGAAGCUUCGGCAGAUUUAGCUGGUUUCUAGUGGCGGACGGGUGAGUAACGCGUGGGUAACCUGCCUUAUACAGGGGGAUAACAACCAGAAAUGGUUGCUAAUACCGCAUAAGCGCACAGGACCGCAUGGUCCGGUGUGAAAAACUCCGGUGGUAUAAGAUGGACCCGCGUUGGAUUAGCUAGUUGGCAGGGUAACGGCCUACCAAGGCGACGAUCCAUAGCCGGCCUGAGAGGGUGAACGGCCACAUUGGGACUGAGACACGGCCCAGACUCCUACGGGAGGCAGCAGUGGGGAAUAUUGCACAAUGGGGGAAACCCUGAUGCAGCGACGCCGCGUGAAGGAAGAAGUAUCUCGGUAUGUAAACUUCUAUCAGCAGGGAAGAUAGUGACGGUACCUGACUAAGAAGCCCCGGCUAACUACGUGCCAGCAGCCGCGGU
Molecule: ribosomal RNA, 512 nt
Filed under: uncultured bacterium
Lineage: Bacteria
Description: bacterial SSU rRNA
Rfam family: Bacterial small subunit ribosomal RNA
Source: RNAcentral